UACUUUCCGCAUGGAAGAAAGUUGAAAGGCGCUUUUGCGUCACUGAUGGAUGGACCCGCGGUGCAUUAGCUAGUUGGUGAGGUAACGGCUCACCAAGGCAACGAUGCAUAGCCGACCUGAGAGGGUGAUCGGCCACACUGGGACUGAGACACGGCCCAGACUCCUACGGGAGGCAGCAGUAGGGAAUCUUCGGCAAUGGACGAAAGUCUGACCGAGCAACGCCGCGUGAGUGAAGAAGGUUUUCGGAUCGUAAAACUCUGUUGUUAGAGAAGAACAAGGAUGAGAGUAAAAUGUUCAUCCCUUGACGGUAUCUAACCAGAAAGCCACGGCUAACUACGUGCCAGCAGCCGCGGUAAUACGUAGGUGGCAAGCGUUGUCCGGAUUUAUUGGGCGUAAAGCGAGCGCAGGCGGUUUCUUAAGUCUGAUGUGAAAGCCCCCGGCUCAACCGGGGAGGGUCAUUGGAAACUGGGAGACUUGAGUGCAGAAGAGGAGAGUGGAAUUCCAUGUGUAGCGGUGAAAUGCGUAGAUAUAUGGAG
RNAcentral lists this ribosomal RNA (536 nucleotides) under uncultured Bacilli bacterium. RNAcentral describes it as "bacterial SSU rRNA". It matches the Rfam family "Bacterial small subunit ribosomal RNA", at positions 180 to 703 of the family's 1533-position model. Lineage: Bacteria; Bacillati; Bacillota; Bacilli. The record is from RNAcentral.